RNAcentral lists this ribosomal RNA (414 nucleotides) under Nanoglomus plukenetiae. RNAcentral describes it as "partial large subunit ribosomal RNA". The record is from RNAcentral. Lineage: Eukaryota; Fungi; Glomeromycota; Glomeromycetes; Glomerales; Glomeraceae.
AGAGUUAAACAGUACGUGAAAUUGUUGAAAGGGAAACGAUUGAAGCCAGUCGUACCGGCGGGAAAUCAACUUCUCGAGUGCUUGUCGUGGGUGAUGUGGAGCCUCACGGCCUUCGUUGCUUGCGUUAUGGUGCUUUUGCGGUGUACUUUUCCGUAUGGUAGGUCAAUAUCGAUUUUGAUUGUCAUAAAAUGAUCGGAGGAAUGUAGCUUUGAUCUCGUAUUGAAGUGUUAUAGCCUCCGGUAGAUGUGACGAUUGGGAUCGAGGAUUGCAACGAAUACCCUUUGGGCUAUCCGUCUGACCUCUGAUGGUAGGCUCGGGUGUUGAAAGCUUGCUUAUGACAUUUUAGUUGGCGGUCAAAAGGUUAGAACGCGAUUACAUUCGUUAAGGAUGUUGACGUAAUGGCUUUAAACGACC